This is a long non-coding RNA of Anser cygnoides (Swan goose), 1649 nucleotides long. The record is from Ensembl. NCBI's taxonomy places the organism in Eukaryota, Metazoa, Chordata, Aves, Anseriformes, Anatidae.
UCCCUGGUAGCUUUAAAUUACUAGCAAGGCUAAAGUUCUUGUUUGCUGCAAGAUCAAGCAUGUAUUCCUGUUGUAUGGGAUGCAGUAAUAGAUGAACUCAGCAGUCCAUCCAUCCCUGCUGGUUUCUUACAUCAUUCUGUCAAAGUUCUGCUAUUGUAGAGCCUGGGAUCAAUUUUAAAUAUAAUUAUCCAGUACAGGAAGGCUUAAGCUCUUUAAAAGUGCAGAUCUAAAUUCAGCUAAUCUAAAAUGUAGAAAAGGUCAGCAUGAAUAAACAAGGAGAAAUAAAGCAAUAAAUGACAAUCCCAUUAAGUGAAGAAAUUUAAUAGAAGAAGUAAUCUAUACAUAUGUUUAUUUAUAGUGUAAAACGAGAAAACAUGCCCUGUACUUUACAACAAUGAAGCAUGGCAGGUAAAUUUUAAAGCAGUAAAGGCAUCAAAGAACACAGCUGCUAAACAAACUUCAAUUUUAAUCAAAGAUACUUAUGUUUAGGAAGACAUUUAGAGGCAAAUGAGACUCUUGGCAUUUCUUCAUUUAUUUUAAAUGUAUUAGGAGCUAAUUCAGUGGGCCAAAAUUUCCAGAAGCACUAUAAUAAUGUGCUCUAGUACAACAAAAUGACCACAGAACAUAGCAUAAGAAUCAUAGAAGUGGAGAAGCGCAUCCAAUGGAUGAUAGAAGAGGAAAUGAAUGAAUGGAACUCCUCUGGACAGAAACUCCUGAAGGAAUGUCGAGGCAGAAGCGGGGACAGAAUCAAAGGGCCGAUUUUAUGAUUAUGGAGACUAUACUUGGGGCAAUACCCAGUCUCCUGGCCACCUUGUUCACCAGCUGCAGAAAAGCCUACUCUCAGCUUCAUUCAUAUGCCUGAUAUAUGUUUCCUGCUCAGCUGGACAGCAGGCUAAGGACAAUGAUUUGAGAUACAAUUCAAGAAGGGGCUGUCUAGCCUGACUGUGUUCUACAAAGUCAAGAACAAGCCUCAAUGUUUGCUGCAGAUAAAACAUUCCCCAAAUGCCAUUUGCAAGAAUUCGUGUCAUAGGUCUACUUCUUCAGUCCUAAAAUAUUACUGAGAAGUAUUUAUUGAUAAGUUCUUACAAAAGUUUAUUAGACAGUAAUACUACUCAAACUUCUAAAAAGAUACUAAUAUAAAAUAGCUUUUCCUUCUUGAUUUCACUGGUGCUAUGCAGACUCAUAAUUUCUAAGAUACCAUUUCUGUUCUCACACCCACCUCCGUCUAGCCUUCUCUGUUUUAAGGGGUUAAAACAGAAAAGAUUUAUAUUCUGAAAAUACUUAAAUGUCAGAUUCAUGUCAGCCUGCUUCAGAAACAAGUAUGGGUAAAAUGGUAAAACAGUUUCCUCCUUCUGUUGGGAUGGUAGCUAUUUUUGAGAUACACCUUGGUGAGGAAAAACUAUCGGUGAUAGUGAUUUAUUAGCUUACUUCACUACUGUUAAUUUGGUUAAUUAUUGGUUUCUUUGGUUACUUCUUGUUUCAGUGUUUGCCAGACAUUUGUGGCUAGAUAACUAUAUAUAGUCUGGAGUAGACAAAAAGUUGUUAUAUUCUGCAUUUGUAUUAGAACUUGGUCCAAUGGGCUUGGAUUUUUAACAUAAAUUGGUGCUGAGGACCUAACUUCCAUACCAUACACACCUUGGGGAUGAGGG